GGGAGCUGGGGAGGAAACGCUGGAGGUUGAAAUCCGUAAAAACCCUUGAACAGCAAGAUCCUGAGAGCUUCGGAGUUGGUAAGCACAUCCACGUGCCAGGAGGGUGGUGCACCCCAAUUUCAUGGAGACAGAAGUUCUUCUGCUCAGGACCCUUCCUUAACUCUCCCUGUGUACUUCUUAUCUGGCUGUUGAUUUGUAUCCUUUAUGAUCAACUGUCCAUAAAAUAAUGACAUGCCUUAGAAUACAUGGCAUUUUGGAUUUGAUGAAAUACAGCCGUGCUUACCCAGUGCGAGGCACUGUCUAUUUCAAUCUCACAACAACCCUGUGAGGGUUGUUGUGGAUGGACAUUAUGACUUGGCUGGUGUGGGCCCUGGGGCUUUCCAGAGUCACAGCACAUACCUGUCUGGAGCCUAUGAGCUCUAGCACAGGACAGCAUCUUGUUGAUGCAGAUGAGGAAGGGGGG
Bos taurus (domestic cattle) is the source of this 463-nucleotide long non-coding RNA. The record is from Ensembl. NCBI's taxonomy places the organism in Eukaryota, Metazoa, Chordata, Mammalia, Artiodactyla, Bovidae.